This 73-nucleotide transfer RNA is filed under the name Deinococcus sp. RNAcentral describes it as "tRNA-Ile". It matches the Rfam family "tRNA". Rfam says of the family: Transfer RNA (tRNA) molecules are approximately 80 nucleotides in length. Their secondary structure includes four short double-helical elements and three loops (D, anti-codon, and T loops). Further hydrogen bonds mediate the characteristic L-shaped molecular structure. tRNAs have two regions of fundamental functional importance: the anti-codon, which is responsible for specific mRNA codon recognition, and the 3' end, to which the tRNAs corresponding amino acid is attached (by aminoacyl-tRNA synthetases). tRNAs cope with the degeneracy of the genetic code in two manners: having more than one tRNA (with a specific anti-codon) for a particular amino acid; and 'wobble' base-pairing, i.e. permitting non-standard base-pairing at the 3rd anti-codon position. Lineage: Bacteria; Thermotogati; Deinococcota; Deinococci; Deinococcales; Deinococcaceae. The record is from RNAcentral.
GGGCCUAUAGCUCAACGGUCAGAGCGGUCGGCUCAUAACCGAUUGGUUCCCGGUUCGAAUCCGGGUGGGCCCA